RNAcentral lists this transfer RNA (71 nucleotides) under Cnemaspis aurantiacopes. RNAcentral describes it as "tRNA-Trp". The record is from RNAcentral. Lineage: Eukaryota; Metazoa; Chordata; Lepidosauria; Squamata; Gekkonidae.
AAAUUUAGGAUUAACCCUCAAACCACAGGCCUUCAAAGCCUAAAAUAAGAGUCACCACCCUCUUAAUUUCU